RNAcentral lists this non-coding RNA (76 nucleotides) under uncultured Siminovitchia sp. Lineage: Bacteria; Bacillati; Bacillota; Bacilli; Caryophanales; Bacillaceae. The record is from RNAcentral.
ACCUAUCUAGCGAUAGAUAGCUGAACCAUCAGAAGUCAGCAGACGUCAUAGUACCUCACGAAUGGGAGGGAAGGAC